This is an RNA transcript of Rhinopithecus roxellana (golden snub-nosed monkey), 1018 nucleotides long. It is a transcript of the gene named 60S ribosomal protein L19 pseudogene, with no coding region annotated. The record is from RefSeq and is a predicted model, not a curated record. NCBI's taxonomy places the organism in Eukaryota, Metazoa, Chordata, Mammalia, Primates, Cercopithecidae. The transcript has 3 exons.
AUGCACACCCUGUCUCAGAAUACCCUCCUGGAGGCCCGGGAAAGGCCCCAGGUCCCAACAGGGCUGCAUGUUCCUGUUUGGACCAUUUGUGGGAGCAAUGAGAGCACCGUGGCUUUCCAGUGUCUGUCAUGUUUAGAGGACAAAAGGGCUGUGAACAAGAAGAUGCUUCCUGCCUCAUCUCCCGGCUCUGCCCUGGAAGCUCCUUGCUUCAGGCUCAGCCCCCAGAGCCUCCGCGCUGUGGACAGCAGUGCAUCUCCAGUCGAAGUCUUCACCCGUUGCGCCUUUGAGAGCAGAGAGAGAAGAUUCUCCGAGGAAUGUGGAAACUUUCCUUUCGCUGCUGCGGCCGCAGCCAUGAGUAUGCUCAGGCUUCAGAAGACUCGCCUCUAGUGUCCUCCGCUGUGGCGAGAAGAAGGUCUGGUUAGACCCCAAUGAGACCAAUGAAAUCGCCAAUGCCAACUCCCGUCAGCAGAUCCAAAAGCUGAUCAAAGAUGGGCUGAUCAUCCGCAAGCCUGUGACAGUCCAUUCCCGGGCGCGAUGCCGGAAAAAUACCUUGGCCCGCCGCAAGGGCAGGCACAUGGGCAUAGGUAAGCGGAAGGGUACAGCCAAUGCCCGAAUGCCAGAGAAGGUCACGUGGAUGAGGAGAAUGAGCAUUCUGCGCCGGCUGCUCAGAAGAUACCGUGAGUCUAAGAAGAUUGAUUGCCACAUGUAUCACAGCCUGUACCUGAAGGUGAAGGGGAAUGUGUUCAAAAACAAGCGUAUUCUCAUGGAACACAUCCACAAGCUGAAGGCAGACAAGGCCCGCAAGAAGCUCCUGGCUGACCAGGCUGAGGCCCGCAGGUCUAAGACCAAGGAAGCACGCAAGUGCCGUGAAGAGCGCCUCCAGGCCAAGAAGGAGGAGAUCAUCAAGACUUUGUCCAAGGAGGAAGAGACCAAGAAAUAAAAGCUCCCCCUUUGUCUGUACAUACUGGCCUCUGUGAUUACAUAGAUCAGCCAUUAAAAUAAAACAAGCCUUUAUCUG